This 450-nucleotide ribosomal RNA is filed under the name uncultured bacterium. RNAcentral describes it as "partial 16S ribosomal RNA". It matches the Rfam family "Bacterial small subunit ribosomal RNA", at positions 354 to 796 of the family's 1533-position model. The record is from RNAcentral.
GUGGGGAAUAUUGGACAAUGGGCGAAAGCCUGAUCCAGCCAUGCCGCGUGUGUGAAGAAGGUCUUCGGAUUGUAAAGCACUUUAAGUUGGGAGGAAGGGCAGUAAGUUAAUACCUUGCUGUUUUGACGUUACCAACAGAAUAAGCACCGGCUAACUUCGUGCCAGCAGCCGCGGUAAUACGAAGGGUGCAAGCGUUAAUCGGAAUUACUGGGCGUAAAGCGCGCGUAGGUGGUUUUGUAAGUUGGAGGUGAAAUCCCCGGGCUCAACCUGGGAACUGCCUCCAAAACUGCAUGGCUAGAGUACGGUAGAGGGUAGUGGAAUUUCCUGUGUAGCGGUGAAAUGCGUAGAUAUAGGAAGGAACACCAGUGGCGAAGGCGACUACCUGGACUGAUACUGACACUGAGGUGCGAAAGCGUGGGGAGCAAACAGGAUUAGAUACCCGGGUAGUCC